Molecule: ribosomal RNA, 218 nt
Filed under: uncultured bacterium
Lineage: Bacteria
Description: partial 16S ribosomal RNA
Rfam family: Bacterial small subunit ribosomal RNA
Source: RNAcentral
GUGGGCAACCUGCCCUGAAGCGGGGGACAACAACUCGAAAGAGUUGCUAAUACCGCAUGUGUAUCGGAAUGGCAUCAUUCAGGAUACAAAGCCUUCGGGCACUUCAGGAUGGGCCCGCGGCCUAUCAGCUAGUUGGUGAGGUAACGGCCCACCAAGGCUUCGACGGGUAGCUGGUCUGAGAGGACGAUCAGCCGGAUUGGGACUGAGAUACGGCCCAG